GGAGCUGCCAUCUUUAUUUUAUUUUCUCCUCCCAUUAUGACCAAAAGCCUUUCCCUAAUUUCUUCCACCGGAAUUGCCAGAGAGAGAAAGAGCUAAGGGAGAAAAUUUCGGCUGCUGGAGAGAAAAUUCCGGCAGCCGAGAAAGUUGUAGAAAGGAGAAGAAAGUCCAGUCCAACCUGCUACCGAAAACAGUUUCUUGCAGCCCCCUUAUUGUUGGAUUUCGAGAAGAAAAAAGAGGGAGAGAAGAGCAACCACCAGUAGCCAAGAAGAGAGCCACUGGCGACAGCACAAAGAGGAAAAAGAGGAAGCUCAAGGCCGCCAUCUUCUUGCCGAAAAAUUGCAGGUGACAAGAUUAGAGGUGAAGACGGCAACAAGGUGGUGACUUAGUGAUGAAGAAGCAUGCGAUAGAUGGAGUUAUAGGUGUAGAUAGCCAUAUUAUUAUAUGGUUUGAUAUUUAGGGACAUUAUUUUUUUUUAGUAGUUUGAUUUUGAAUUUGAGAUAUUUUACAUUAUAUGCUUAGGGAUUAUUCUAUGAUAAGGGUUUUUAUUAUUUUUUUUAAAUAAAGACUUUGAAGUGAUAUUAAGAUAUUAUUGA
Molecule: long non-coding RNA, 593 nt
Organism: Mangifera indica (mango)
Lineage: Eukaryota; Viridiplantae; Streptophyta; Magnoliopsida; Sapindales; Anacardiaceae
Exons: 2
Source: RefSeq, a predicted model, not a curated record